This 1458-nucleotide ribosomal RNA is filed under the name Stenotrophomonas sp. a200. RNAcentral describes it as "16S ribosomal RNA". It matches the Rfam family "Bacterial small subunit ribosomal RNA". Lineage: Bacteria; Pseudomonadati; Pseudomonadota; Gammaproteobacteria; Lysobacterales; Lysobacteraceae. The record is from RNAcentral.
CACAUGCAAGUCGAGCGGCAGCACAGAGACAGCUUGCUCUCUGGGUGGCGAGUGGGGGACGGGUGAGGAAUGCAUCGGAAUCGACUCUUUCGUGGGGGAUAACGUAGGGAAACUUACGCUAAUACCGCAUACGACCUACGGGUGAGGGCCGGGGACGUUCGGGCCUGGCGCGAAUGAAUGAGCCGAUGCCCGAUUAGCGAGUUGGCGGGGUAAGAGCCCACCAAGGCCACUAUCGGUAGCUGGUCUGAGAGGACUGAUCAGCCACACUGGAACUGAGACCCGGUCCAGACUCCUACGGGAGGCAGCAUUUGGGGAAAUAUUGGACAAUCCGGGGCCAGCCCGAUCCAGCCCUAGCCGAGUAGUUGAUGAAAGUCUUUGGGGCAUCUUAUAGUCAUUUUUAUUGGGAAGAAAAAGCAGCCUCCUACUUACCUGUUGGUUUUGACGGUACCCAAAGACUAACGCACCGGCUAACUUCGUGCCAGCAGCGCGCCGGUAAUACGAAGGGUGCAAGCGUUACUUCGGAAUUACUGGGCGUAAAGCGUGCGUAGGUGGUUGUUUCAAGUCUCGUUGUGAAAACCCCUGGGCUCCUACCUGGGAAAUUCGAUGGAAAAUGGGCGACUAGAGUGUGGGAGAGGAUAGUGUGAAUUCCUGGUGUAGCCAGUGAAAUGUGUAGAGAUCUGGAAGGAACAUCCGUGGGGAAGGGGACUCUUUGGGCCAACACUGACACUGAGGCAUGAAAGCGUGGGGAGCAAACAGGAUUAGAUACCCCGGUAGUCCACGCCCUAAACGAUGCGAAAUGGAUGUUGGGUGCAAUUUGGCAUGCAGUAUCGAAGCUAAAGCGUUAAGUUUGCCGCCUGGGGGAGUACGGUCGCAAGAGUGAAAAUUAAAGGAAUUGGACGGGGGCCCGCACAAGCGGUGGAGUAUGUUGGUUUAAUUUGAUGGAAAGGGAAAAACCUUACCUGGCCUUGACAUGCACGGGAGCAUUUCCAAAAAUGGAUUGGUGCCUUUGGGAACCGUGGACACAGGUGGUGCAUGGCUGUUGUUAGCUUGUAGUUGUGAGAUGUUGGGUUAAGUCCCGCAAAGAGGGCAACCCUUGUCCUUAGUUGCCAGCAGCGUGAUGCAUCCGACCUUUAGACGAGACCGCCGGUGACAAACCGGAUGCAAGGUAGGGGAUGAAGUCGAAGUCGUAUACAUGGCCCUUACGGCCACGGUGCUACACACGUAGUACAAUGGUGGGGACAGAGGGGUGCAAGCCGGCGACGGUAAGCCAAUCCCAGAAACCCCAUUUCAGUCCGGAUUGGAGUUUGCAACUUGACUCCAUGAAGUUGGAAUCGCUAGUAAUCGCAGAUCAGCAUUGUUGCGGUGAAUACGUUCCCGGGCCUUGUACACACCGCCCGUCACACCAUGGGAGUUUGUUGCACCAGAAGCAGGUAGUUUAACCUUCGGGAGGGCGCUGAC